GUUUACAGCCAUGCCACCUUGAACAAGCCCAAUCCCAUCUCGGAAGCUAAGCAGGGUUGGGCCUGGUUAGUACUUGGAUGGGAGACCACCUAGGAAGACCAGGUGCUGUAGGCG
Molecule: ribosomal RNA, 114 nt
Filed under: Pteropus alecto (black flying fox)
Lineage: Eukaryota; Metazoa; Chordata; Mammalia; Chiroptera; Pteropodidae
Source: RNAcentral